CAGCUCUCUGCAAGCCGUGGGAGGGCUGCGCGACUUCACGCAGCUCUUCCAGGGCUAGCAGAGAGCUUGCCUGCACCCAGAAGCUUGGGGCGCGCUGAGCUCAGCACGCCCCAAACUUUGGGCUUCGCGCAGCUCUCCCACGGCUAGCGGAUAGCAGCCUGUUCUGGGGGCUGGGGUCAGGGGAAGCUCGGGCUUCCCCCGCCCCAGCCCCGCACCUGGGGGGGGGGAAAUAAUUGUUUUUCUUUAUUUCCCCCCCAAAAAACUAGGUGCAUCCUAUGGGCCGGUGCGCCCUAUGGGGCGAAAAAUUCGGUAACUAAUUCAGUUUCUGAAACAAUGCAUGAAUCACAGCACAGCUAGCCUUCAAAAUUUGCCCUUCCCCGAACUUUGUGAUACAGUCUUCUGACUAAAAAAUGUGUGGAUUAUAGGAAAGCAUGUAUCAAAUGCAUAUACUAAUGAAAUAAUAUGUAAAAUAUAUGGGGAAACUGCUUGCAAAAAUAUAUAGUAGGGGAAAUUUGGAUUAAAAUGCUGAUGAAUUUCCAUGAGGACUGUCUUUUAAAAAAUUACUGCAAAGUGAUGUGGAAUUGUGGCAAAUUUAACAACUUGAAUUGUAUUGUUUUUGUGUACAAUUGUUGUAAACAACUCUAUUUUUUAUAAAUAGCAGUAUCAAAUUAUUUUUAUAAGUAAAAAAGAAGAAACUGAAGAGAAAUCAAAAUUGACAGAUUUGUCAACCCCUAGAGACAACCUUACACAAAACGGAAGCAUUCAGCAGUGUGAAAAAGAGAAAUACAUCUCAAAAUGCUAAAAUAAGGUAAUUAAAAACUGAUUUGAAAAAACAACAAACAAACUUGGAAAAGCACCCCCUCCCCAUUGUUUCCAGUUUUAUUAAACUCUAGCCCACAGAAGUUUAUGUUGUUAUGUGUUAGUCUUUAAGAUGCCACACACUGUUUCUGUUGCAACAGAAUAUUGCAACAGGGAUAUUGCCAUGGGACUAUGCUACAGGGUUGUAGAGAAAUAUAUUUCAAAGAUGAUAGAAAGGAUGCUUUUUUUUUUUAUUGGCCCCAUGUGUUUUGGCUCAAAUACCUUCCUUUCUUCCUUCUUUCCUUUUUUUAAAGGUUACAUUUAAAGCAAAAGGUUGGUUACUUUAAAAUGUUCAUUUAUUUAGAAGAAUUAUCCAGUGGUUUUAUGGUGGAAUCUAGAUUUACGGUAGUUGUGUUCUCGUGACCAUUACCAGAAGAGUGUCACUUCUUAAAGAGUGAGGAUGGCAUCAGAGCUUGGGUGGUAGAGUACGGUGGGGUGGGUGAGCUGGUACCUUGGUAGCAGGAGGGCAUUCUUUGGAACUGGGUGGGUUGUGGAUGAGUUGCCAUCAUGCAGGGAUGUCACUGCAUGUUUGUCAUGUACUGGCUAGAUGCAGAGGAGUGGUGGGAGGCCAUUUGGAAGAGUUCCUGUGAUCACUGGGUCUGAGCUGUUUUGGUUUCUUUGAAUAAAGUUGCACCUUUUCAUUUCAUGGUGUCACAUAGCUGUGUAAUAUGCACUGAAUCCGACUGUCAAU
This is a non-coding RNA of Podarcis lilfordi (Lilford's wall lizard), 1549 nucleotides long. The record is from the annotation of a GenBank genome assembly. Lineage: Eukaryota; Metazoa; Chordata; Lepidosauria; Squamata; Lacertidae.